Molecule: ribosomal RNA, 666 nt
Filed under: Eucalyptus microtheca
Lineage: Eukaryota; Viridiplantae; Streptophyta; Magnoliopsida; Myrtales; Myrtaceae
Description: eukaryotic LSU rRNA
Rfam family: 5.8S ribosomal RNA (bases 173-328)
Source: RNAcentral
UCGACGCCGAGGAUCAAGGCUCGGGCGCCUCAGGGCGCUCGGCCUUGUCCCCGGCGGCACAACGAACCCCGGCGCGGAAUGCGCCAAGGAACUUGAACAAGAGUGCGAUGCUCCCGCCGCCCCAUACACGGUGCGCGCGCGGGACGCCAUGCAAUCUCAUAUUAGUCAUAACGACUCUCGGCAACGGAUAUCUCGGCUCUCGCAUCGAUGAAGAACGUAGCGAACUGCGAUACUUGGUGUGAAUUGCAGAAUCCCGUGAACCAUCGAGUCUUUGAACGCAAGUUGCGCCCGAAACCUUCGGGUCGAGGGCACGUUUGCCUGGGUGUCACACAUGGCGUUGCCCCUAAUCCCCUCCGCCCUCUCAACGGGGCGAGCGGGACUUGGGCGCGUACGAUGGCCUCCCGCGACGACCACGUCCCGGUUGGCCCAAAAUCGAGCGUCGGAGCGAUCAGCACCACGACAUUCGGUGGUUGAUUAGACCCCAAUGAUCAAUGUCGCGCGUGCCGCUCAUCGCACGCUCCGCGAAUCUGCUCCUUACCAACGCGACCCCAGGUCAAGCGGGGCUACCCGCUGAGUUUAAGCAUAUCAAUAAGCGGAGGAAAAGAAACUAACAAGGAUUCCCCUAGUAACGGCGAGCGAACCGGGAAGAGCCCAGCAUGAGAAUCG